This 354-nucleotide small RNA is filed under the name Arabidopsis thaliana (thale cress). RNAcentral describes it as "ATSL225250". The record is from RNAcentral. Lineage: Eukaryota; Viridiplantae; Streptophyta; Magnoliopsida; Brassicales; Brassicaceae.
AGUAAAAGUGUGAUUAAGGAAGAAACAUGGAGAUUUUAAACAGAACUAGAUUUUAACCCGCGGUAUACCGCGGGAUGAUUUAUUUUUUUAAAGUAAUAUCUAUUAAAACUUGCAAAUUUUAUUUUUAUAAAAUAUUUAUAUUUUACAGUUUAUAAUUGUUAUUAAGUAACGCUAUACCACGAAUCCAUGAGACAAUUGUUAAAAAACUGAAGUUUAACCCCUUGUAAAACAGCAUAUUAAUAAUAUUUUAAAAUUUUAUAAAUAUUGAUUCAAAUACAUCCACCAUAUAACCCAAUUCCAAAAUAAAACCCGUUCUGUAAUUCCUUUACCCGUCCCGUAAUAUUUUUUUAAAGU